Molecule: long non-coding RNA, 461 nt
Organism: Cucumis melo (muskmelon)
Lineage: Eukaryota; Viridiplantae; Streptophyta; Magnoliopsida; Cucurbitales; Cucurbitaceae
Exons: 2
Source: RefSeq, a predicted model, not a curated record
AAAAAGAACAUGAAAGGGGUGAAUGAAAAACAAAGCAUGUCAACAAAACGAAGGCCCCAUAAGAUGGAAGGAUUAAAACUUGCAAAAGGAGGUCAGCGAGGCAACGGUAAGCAAGGGGAAAGCCACGUGAUGUGUGUAUCUAAGUUCGAACUUUUGCCCAAGUCUACCGCAAGACACGAGGAGUGGGAGCGUAAAAAAGUGAGAGCAAGGAGCAGGAAGAAUGCAAGAAAGUGGAAGUAAAAAUAUUAUUGGGUUGGAUUAGUUAAAUGCAAAUGCAAGAGAGGAAUGAAGAGCAGAGGAAGCGACCUAGCGUGUGAGAGCAGCAUUGUAAAAAUGGAAAAAAUUAAUGGAUUAGGUAUUAUUUUUUGUUUCAUUUUUGGAUUGCCUUAAUAUUUUUCUUUUUAUUAUCUUUUUUCUUUAAUUAAUCAAUCCAAAUAAAUGUUGUUAUUUUUUUUUUUUAA